UAAGGAAUAUUGCGCAAUGGGGGAAACCCUGAAGGAGCGACGCCGCGUGGGGGAUGAAUGGCUUCGGCCCGUAAACCCCUGUCAUCUGCGAGCAAUCCCUCCAGCUUAACACGUUGGAGGUCGAUAGUAGUGGAAGAGGAAGGGACGGCUAACUCUGUGCCAGCAGCCGCGGUAAUACAGAGGUCCCAAGCGUUGUUCGGAUUUACUGGGCGUAAAGGGUGCGUAGGCGGCCAAAAAAGUCCGAUGUGAAAUCUUGGAGCUUAACUCCGAAACUGCACUGGAUACUGCUUGGCUUGAGGAGUGGAGGGGAGACUGGAAUUCUCGGUGUAGCAGUGAAAUGCGUAGAGAUGUGGAGGAACACCGAUGGCGAAGGCAGCCCCCUGGGUCAACACUGACGCUCAUGCACGAAAGCGUGGGGAGCAAACAGGAUUAGAUACCCCUGUAGUCCCUGAGCGGGCUGGCAAGGCGCAU
This 471-nucleotide ribosomal RNA is filed under the name uncultured bacterium. RNAcentral's name for it is "bacterial SSU rRNA". It matches the Rfam family "Bacterial small subunit ribosomal RNA", at positions 355 to 825 of the family's 1533-position model. The record is from RNAcentral.